CUCUGCCUGCCACCCACCAUACGUAUUAACUUUUGUUAAAAAUCGGGUGUCAGAUCAGAUCUGGAGGGGAUCCAAUCCAACAACCAUGGAAGGCAAACCCUAGCCUAGCCGCCUCUCUCUCCUGCUCCUGCUCCUCUCCUCCUCAGAUCUCCUACCACCAUGGCCGUCGGCUCCUCCUUCCAAGCCCCCAUGGAAGCAAACCCUAGCCUAGCCGCCUCUCUCUCCUGCUCCUGCUCCUGUCCUCCUCAGAUCUCCUACCACCAUGGCCUCGUUCUUCCUUCAACCCCCCUGCGACCUUCCAUGGCGACAUGGAUCUAGCCAGCCGGGUUGAGGCCGCUGGCCGGACGGCAGCAACGUGCGUCGGUACGGUGGCAACCGGGCCGCUCCCGGAGACCGCCGGCGUGUGAAACCGCUUGUUCGUCUGAUGGGUGGGUUUGUUGGUUGGAUCUCUAGUACAGUUUUUUAGUAUGUUAUUAUUAUAGAUGGAUAUAGGAAAACGAAUAUCUUAGUAUUUCGCGUCAAGCCCUGUUCGUCUCCGGGAGUUGAACGUUUUUUUUAAAUCUUCUGUAUGUAUAUCACCCGAGGACAAAGCAAAAAAAAAAAAAUCCUUGUUCAGAAGAAGAUUCACCCGAGUACUGUUUUCAGGCUGUUUGGAUCUGUGGGAAAUUUCCCUAGAAGGAUUUGAAACUCUUAGGCCUCCUUUGGUUCAUAGGAUAGAAAUAGUAAAAUCAUUUAAAUAUAAAGAAAAAAAUGUCAUUCGAUGCAUAAGAUAGGAAUUUUUUCCUGGGAAAUGUGAAGGACUGAUUUCUAUCCUUCAUAGGAAUAGGAAUCCAUUCCUACAAGCCAAAUGGCUUCAAAGGAAUUUUUCCUAUAAAGUUCCUAUCUUUUACAAUUCCUACAAUAUUUUUAUGAACCAAAGGAGGCCUUAAGGUUUUUUCCCAAGCAUUCAUGUAGUCUAUUAUUUUUUGUAGAAAAAUAAUUCUCAAACCUCCAUUUGCAAUUCCUUUACUUAUUUUGUGGUGUGAAACACUCUUUGAUGCGUUUUUUUUUUGCCAACACCUCUUAGUACCACUUAUGUAGGUCGUACUACAAGAGACAACAAUCCAAAGUACAUUUUAUUAAGCGUUUUGGUCUCAGCAAUUAUCCCCUGAUAGCAUUCGAGUCAUACUUUUGGUUGUGAUUCUCGUUGCUUUGAUUCGAUUUGACUCUUUUUGUAAGCCUAAGAACAUUAAGUAAGAACGUGUUGCUUUGAUUUGUCUUUUUUUUUUCUAUUAAUUUUGUGUGUGCUUCUAUUAGGAUGAUUUUUGAUUUUUUUUAAUCAAGUGAACCAAACACAUAAUGGGUUGACAAAAUUGAUGCGUGUAAUAACCGUUCUGCAGGCCUUGUUCAGACGAGGUUUAUUUGUUUUGUAAGUAUGUGCUCAUCUUUUGGGGAUGUGCGCACAUAGAGGUAGGGUCAUCAUUUUGGUACCAGCCAUGUCCACUCGAAAUGAAUUAAUGGAGGCUGUCCACUCGUUUUCUCUCUUAGAUUAGAUCCAUAGAGAUUUUUUUUUUGGAAUAUCCUUGCUGUACGUGCACUUACGCAUGCAUGCUCUUCAGGUAAGGACCUUGGAUUCCUUGGCAUGUUGCUCUCUACCAGCAUAGUUCAGCCAUGUAGACCCACUCACACACCACCACUCGGUUGGUUAUGUCCCACUACUCCGGCGAGAUGGAUUUGCUUGUGUUUUAGAGGCCGUAUGCUGCUGCAUUUGUUGCACACUUGUGAAGGCUUCCAACUCGGUUUUUUUCUGAUGCAUAAGCAACUUCCUUGAUCCUGGUAUGAAGGUGUACAAAUCUUGCCCAUGAACCCAGUCUUCUUGAAGCAAGCCGGGCAUGCACAAUGCAUCUUGUUUGGUUGGUGCCUGAGUAGUAUUUGGACCAGCCUGACCUGAGCUGUCCACCGAAAUCAGAGGCCUGACUCAGGCAGAAGCAAUCAGUCUGCUCAUAAUUUAGGGAUGCACACAUGGAGCGGUUCACGUGUGUCCCUGCAGUGUUGCAGCUGGGGCGUCCCAAGGUCCAUAGCUAGGCCCACCAAAAGAAUGGAGCGUGUGCAUAGCAAUGUCCAGCAGCACAGGAUGAACUGCUAUGCAACACACCACUACACAAGGAACGGAGGGAGUAUGAUGCAUGACAGCUUUCUGCAGCAAUGCUUCAAGGAGAAUUGGCGUGUAAGGCGAGGGAUGGUUCAUAAUCUAGCACUCCUGUUGUCAGGCCAGGUUGAGGGAACAAGGAAGUAUCAUCAUCAUGAGUGUGCCAUGAGCAGCUACUCACCAGUGCUCCGAUCCUUAGGCCCUUGACCCUAAUCCCAAUGCUGGCGAGCUCAUUGCGUCUGUCUGAACCUGGCUUCAGAUCAAGACUGCAUAGGGGAUUUUUUUCUUUUAAAAUGGUUUUUUUUAUGUUUGUAAAUCUUGUAAUUUUCAUUUUAUUUUUUGCACUCUGUACUUACGUAUGCUGAUGCACGUGUGAUUCCAUCUGGGGCAUCGGCACGGGUACCCUGCAGACGGGGCAAUUGGACUUAGGUGUUCCCAUAGCUGUCUCGCCUGUUCUCUCUUGUCCAUGUAUGCAGCCUCUGCCCUGCAGAGAGAAUUUGUACGGUUACCAAGACGCACUGCAUUCAUUCAUCAGGAAACUUGAAUCCAUAUAUUAACGACAAAUACUUGACAUGACA
This is a long non-coding RNA of Triticum dicoccoides, 2706 nucleotides long. RefSeq lists it as uncharacterized. The transcript is spliced from 8 exons. Lineage: Eukaryota; Viridiplantae; Streptophyta; Magnoliopsida; Poales; Poaceae. The record is from RefSeq and is a predicted model, not a curated record.